UUAAGUUCAGCGGGUAUUCCUACCUGAUCCGAGGUCAACUCUAGAAAGCUGGUGCGUUUCACGGCGUGACCGUCUCCGCGCUCCGGUGCGAGGUGUGUGCUACUACGCAGGGGAGGCUGCGGCGAGGUCGCCACUGCAUUUCGGGGGCGGCCAGGGCCGGCCCCCAACGCCGGGCCCCCGGGGGGGCUCGAGGGUUGAAA
RNAcentral lists this unclassified non-coding RNA (200 nucleotides) under Hypocreales sp. RNAcentral's name for it is "partial internal transcribed spacer 2". Lineage: Eukaryota; Fungi; Ascomycota; Sordariomycetes; Hypocreales. The record is from RNAcentral.